AUCUAACUGACGAGUCCCAAAUAUGACGAAACGAGCAUUCAUGCAU
This 46-nucleotide non-coding RNA is filed under the name Schistosoma margrebowiei. The record is from RNAcentral. Lineage: Eukaryota; Metazoa; Platyhelminthes; Trematoda; Strigeidida; Schistosomatidae.